RNAcentral lists this small nucleolar RNA (154 nucleotides) under Panthera pardus (leopard). The record is from RNAcentral. Lineage: Eukaryota; Metazoa; Chordata; Mammalia; Carnivora; Felidae.
UCUGUUACUAUAACAUUUUGGUAAUAGAAUGAAAAAAAAAGCCAAUAGAUUCACAAGCAUUGGUAGCACGCUGCCUGAGGGGCACGUCUGCUGCUACCACCACACGGGUCUCUGGCCCAGUGAGUGGAGUUUGACAGUAAUUCUGGCUACAAGU